RNAcentral lists this ribosomal RNA (497 nucleotides) under uncultured bacterium. RNAcentral describes it as "partial 16S ribosomal RNA". It matches the Rfam family "Bacterial small subunit ribosomal RNA", at positions 28 to 507 of the family's 1533-position model. The record is from RNAcentral.
GACGAACGCUGGCGGCGUGCCUAAUACAUGCAAGUUGAGCGAUGAAGAUUGGUGCUUGCACCAAUUUGAAGAGCAGCGAACGGGUGAGUAACGCGUGGGGAAUCUGCCUUUGAGCGGGGGACAACAUUUGGAAACGAAUGCUAAUACCGCAUAACAACUUUAAACAUAAGUUUUAAGUUUGAAAGAUGCAAUUGCAUCACUCAAAGAUGAUCCCGCGUUGUAUUAGCUAGUUGGUGAGGUAAAGGCUCACCAAGGCGAUGAUACAUAGCCGACCUGAGAGGGUGAUCGGCCACAUUGGGACUGGGACACGGCCCAAACUCCUACGGGAGGCAGCAGUAGGGAAUCUUCGGCAAUAGACGAAAGUCUGACCGAGCAACGCCGCGUGAGUGAAGAAGGUUUUCGGAUCGUAAAACUCUGUUGGUAGAGAAGAACGUUGGUGAGAGUGGAAAGCUCAUCAAGUGACGGUAACUACCCAGAAAGGGACGGCUAACUACGUG